UUAACACAUGCAAGUCGAACGAUGAUGCCCAGCUUGCUGGGUGGAUUAGUGGCGAACGGGUGAGUAACACGUGAGUAACCUGCCCCUGACUCUGGGAUAAGCGUUGGAAACGACGUCUAAUACUGGAUAUGAUUACCGGCCGCAUGGUCUGGUGGUGGAAAGAUUUUUUGGUUGGGGAUGGACUCGCGGCCUAUCAGCUUGUUGGUGAGGUAAUGGCUCACCAAGGCGACGACGGGUAGCCGGCCUGAGAGGGUGACCGGCCACACUGGGACUGAGACACGGCCCAGACUCCUACGGGAGGCAGCAGUGGGGAAUAUUGCACAAUGGGCGAAAGCCUGAUGCAGCAACGCCGCGUGAGGGAUGACGGCCUUCGGGUUGUAAACCUCUUUUAGUAGGGAAGAAGCGAGAGUGACGGUACCUGCAGAAAAAGCACCGGCUAACUACGUGCCAGCAGCCGCGGUAAUACGUAGGGUGCAAGCGUUGUCCGGAAUUAUUGGGCGUAAAGAGCUCGUAGGCGGUUUGUCGCGUCUGCUGUGAAAUCCCGAGGCUCAACCUCGGGCUUGCAGUGGGUACGGGCAGACUAGAGUGCGGUAGGGGAGAUUGGAAUUCCUGGUGUAGCGGUGGAAUGCGCAGAUAUCAGGAGGAACACCGAUGGCGAAGGCAGAUCUCUGGGCCGUAACUGACGCUGAGGAGCGAAAGCAUGGGGAGCGAACAGGAUUAGAUACCCUGGUAGUCCAUGCCGUAAACGUUGGGCGCUAGAUG
RNAcentral lists this ribosomal RNA (762 nucleotides) under Curtobacterium sp. RNAcentral's name for it is "bacterial SSU rRNA". It matches the Rfam family "Bacterial small subunit ribosomal RNA", at positions 48 to 822 of the family's 1533-position model. The record is from RNAcentral. Lineage: Bacteria; Bacillati; Actinomycetota; Actinomycetes; Micrococcales; Microbacteriaceae.